Molecule: microRNA precursor, 74 nt
Filed under: Myotis davidii
Lineage: Eukaryota; Metazoa; Chordata; Mammalia; Chiroptera; Vespertilionidae
Description: mir-9193 microRNA precursor family
Rfam family: mir-9193 microRNA precursor family
Source: Rfam by way of RNAcentral
GAUGUAGGGGGGUGAUCCCUCAGCCCAGAUUUCGAGAAGGUGCAGGCCAGGCCAAGGGACCCCACCGGUGCAUG